CAUUCAUAAUUCAAAUUUCAAAUCAAAAGGCAAACCCGUUAUUGCUUAUUGCCUUUUAGUUUUCAUGUUCUUAACUGUUAAAUGCUCCGAUUAUUUAUUGUUUCUUACAUGUAAUUUCAUCAAUCAUUGAAUAAAAUGUCUUCAGCUGUACCUAAGUACCUUGGCUUGCGCCCUGCACCAUAUUAUUGGAACCGGGAAAUGUUUUGGACAUUCAAAUAGCGAUCCGUGCAAUGGGAGAUCGUGCAUUCAGUUUUUCAAAUCACCAGUAUAUGAAGUGUUAUUGGUUAAGAUUUUCUGGCUUUCUUUUGAAUUUAUGAAAUGCACAGGAUAGUACAUCGCUAAAACACAGUUAGGAGUCUAAUCUAAUUUCAACUAUUUCAAGAAAAGAACUGCAUGUACGUAUAAAUACAACAUCUUGUCUAGAAUGCUGAAUUGAAUGUAAUAGAUAACUCAACCAUUGCUGUGAAUUCAAAUAUGUGUGUAUAAAUUCGAUAUGAAAAAUGU
Molecule: long non-coding RNA, 504 nt
Organism: Melanaphis sacchari
Lineage: Eukaryota; Metazoa; Arthropoda; Insecta; Hemiptera; Aphididae
Exons: 4
Source: RefSeq, a predicted model, not a curated record